GACGAACCGUGCGAACGUUAUUCGGAAUCACUGGGCUUAAAGCGCGUGUAGGCGGCCCGGCACGUCAGUCGCUGAAAUCCCCCGGCUCAACCGGGGAAGUGGCGUUGAUACGACCGGGCUGGAGGGGGGUAGGGGGGACGGGAACUCACGGUGGAGCGGUGAAAUGCGUUGAGAUCGUGAGGAACGCCCGCGGCGAAAGCGCGUCCCUGGACCACACCUGACGCUGAGACGCGAAAGCCAGGGGAGCGAACGGG
This 254-nucleotide ribosomal RNA is filed under the name uncultured bacterium. Its description in RNAcentral is "partial 16S ribosomal RNA". It matches the Rfam family "Bacterial small subunit ribosomal RNA", at positions 524 to 776 of the family's 1533-position model. The record is from RNAcentral.